Molecule: ribosomal RNA, 818 nt
Filed under: uncultured Megasphaera sp.
Lineage: Bacteria; Bacillati; Bacillota; Negativicutes; Veillonellales; Veillonellaceae
Description: bacterial SSU rRNA
Rfam family: Bacterial small subunit ribosomal RNA
Source: RNAcentral
UGCUUUUUCUACAAUCUAGUGGCAAACGGGUGAGUAACGCGUAAACAACCUGCCCUGCGGAUGGGGACAACAGCUGGAAACGGCUGCUAAUACCGAAUACGUUCCGGAAGUCGCAUGACUGUCGGAAGAAAGGAUGGCCUCUAUUUAUAAGCUAUCGCCGGAGGAGGGGUUUGCGUCUGAUUAGCUAGUUGGAGGGGUAACGGCCCACCAAGGCGACGAUCAGUAGCCGGUCUGAGAGGAUGAACGGCCACAUUGGAACUGAGACACGGUCCAGACUCCUACGGGAGGCAGCAGUGGGGAAUCUUCCGCAAUGGGCGAAAGCCUGACGGAGCAACGCCGCGUGAGUGAAGACGGCCUUCGGGUUGUAAAGCUCUGUUAUACGGGACGAAUAAUCUUGUGGUUAAUACCCAUGAGAAGUGACGGUACCGUAAGAGAAAGCCACGGCUAACUACGUGCCAGCAGCCGCGGUAAUACGUAGGUGGCAAGCGUUGUCCGGAAUUAUUGGGCGUAAAGGGCGCGCAGGCGGCUUCUUAAGUCUGUCUUAAAAGUGCGGGGCUUAACCCCGUGAUGGGAUGGAAACUGGGAAGCUCAGAGUAUCGGAGAGGAAAGCGGAAUUCCUAGUGUAGCGGUGAAAUGCGUAGAUAUUAGGAGGAACACCAGUGGCGAAAGCGGCUUUCUGGACGAAAACUGACGCUGAGGCGCGAAAGCCAGGGGAGCGAGCGGGAUUAGAUACCCCGGUAGUCCUGGCCGUAAACGAUGGGUACUAGGUGUAGGAGGUAUCGACCCCUUCUGUGCCGGAGUUAACGCAAUAAGUACCC